AUAUUUACCUGGCAGGGGAGAUAACAUGAUCGUGAAGGGGGUUUUCUCAGGGCAAAGGUUACCCAUUGUACUCCAUAUGUGCUGACCCCUGUCAUUUUCCCAAAUGCUGGAAAUUCGACUGCAUAAUUUGUGAUGGUGGUGAAAUA
Molecule: small nuclear RNA, 146 nt
Filed under: Dasypus novemcinctus (nine-banded armadillo)
Lineage: Eukaryota; Metazoa; Chordata; Mammalia; Cingulata; Dasypodidae
Description: U1 spliceosomal RNA (ENSDNOG00000038055.1)
Rfam family: U1 spliceosomal RNA
About the family: U1 is a small nuclear RNA (snRNA) component of the spliceosome (involved in pre-mRNA splicing).
Source: RNAcentral